Molecule: ribosomal RNA, 253 nt
Filed under: uncultured bacterium
Lineage: Bacteria
Description: partial 16S ribosomal RNA
Rfam family: Bacterial small subunit ribosomal RNA
Source: RNAcentral
UACGAAGGGGGCGAGCGUUGUUCGGAAUUACUGGGCGUAAAGGGCGCGUAGGCAGCCGAUCAAGUUAGAUGUGAAAGUCCUGGGCUUAACCUGGGGACUGCAUUUGAUACUGAUUGGCUUGAAUUCGGGAGAGGAUAGCGGAAUUCCCAGUGUAGAGGUGAAAUUCGUAGAUAUUGGGAAGAACACCGGUGGCGAAGGCGGCUAUCUGGACCGACAUUGACGCUGAGGCGCGAAAGCGUGGGGAGCAAACAGG